CACAUGCAAGUCGAGCGGCAGCGGGAAGUAGUUUACUACUUUGCCGGCGAGCGGCGGACGGGUGAGUAAUGUCUGGGAAACUGCCUGAUGGAGGGGGAUAACUACUGGAAACGGUAGCUAAUACCGCAUAACGUCUACGGACCAAAGUGGGGGACCUUCGGGCCUCACGCCAUCGGAUGUGCCCAGAUGGGAUUAGCUAGUAGGUGGGGUAAUGGCUCACCUAGGCGACGAUCCCUAGCUGGUCUGAGAGGAUGACCAGCCACACUGGAACUGAGACACGGUCCAGACUCCUACGGGAGGCAGCAGUGGGGAAUAUUGCACAAUGGGCGCAAGCCUGAUGCAGCCAUGCCGCGUGUGUGAAGAAGGCCUUCGGGUUGUAAAGCACUUUCAGCGAGGAGGAAGGCAUAAAGGUUAAUAACCUUUGUGAUUGACGUUACU
This 438-nucleotide ribosomal RNA is filed under the name Yersinia enterocolitica. Its description in RNAcentral is "bacterial SSU rRNA". It matches the Rfam family "Bacterial small subunit ribosomal RNA", at positions 52 to 479 of the family's 1533-position model. Lineage: Bacteria; Pseudomonadati; Pseudomonadota; Gammaproteobacteria; Enterobacterales; Yersiniaceae. The record is from RNAcentral.